CUACGGGAGGCAGCAGUGAGGAAUCUUCCGCAAUGGGCGAAAGCCUGACGGAGCAAUGCCGCGUGUGGGAUGACGCCUCUCGGGGUGUAAACCACUUUUCUGAGGGAAUAAUUUUGAAGGUACCUUAGGAAUAAGUCACGGCUAAUCACGUGCCAGCAGCCGCGGUAAUACGUGAGUGGCUAGCGUUAUCCGGAAUAAUUGGGCGUAAAGCGUCACCAGGGGGAGAUUUAAGUCAGAUGUAAAAGUUCACGGCUCAACCGUGAGUUGGCAUCUGAAACUGAAUUUCUAGAAGGCAGUAGAGGCAGAUGGAAUUUCCGGAGUAGGAGUAAUAUCCGUAGAUGCCGGAAGGAACACCAAUAGCGAAGGCAAUCUGCUGGGCUGUUCUUGACCCUCACUGACGAAAGCGUGGGUAGCGAACCGGAUUAGAUACCCGCGUAGUC
RNAcentral lists this ribosomal RNA (440 nucleotides) under uncultured bacterium. RNAcentral's name for it is "partial 16S ribosomal RNA". It matches the Rfam family "Bacterial small subunit ribosomal RNA", at positions 339 to 795 of the family's 1533-position model. The record is from RNAcentral.